CCUACGGGUGGCAGCAGUGGGGAAUAUUGGACAAUGGGCGAAAGCCUGAUCCAGCCAUGCCGCGUGUGUGAAGAAGGCCUUCGGGUUGUAAAGCACUUUCAGUGGGGAAGAAAGCCUUGGGGCUAAUACCCUCGAGGAAGGACAUCACCCACAGAAGAAGCACCGGCUAACUCCGUGCCAGCAGCCGCGGUAAUACGGAGGGUGCGAGCGUUAAUCGGAAUUACUGGGCGUAAAGCGCGCGUAGGCGGCUGAUAAGCCGGUUGUGAAAGCCCCGGGCUCAACCUGGGAACGGCAUCCGGAACUGUCAGGCUAGAGUGCAGGAGAGGAAGGUAGAAUUCCCGGUGUAGCGGUGAAAUGCGUAGAGAUCGGGAGGAAUACCAGUGGCGAAGGCGGCCUUCUGGACUGACACUGACGCUGAGGUGCGAAAGCGUGGGUAGCAAACAGGAUUAGAUACCCCUGUAGUC
RNAcentral lists this ribosomal RNA (464 nucleotides) under Vreelandella stevensii. Its description in RNAcentral is "partial 16S ribosomal RNA". It matches the Rfam family "Bacterial small subunit ribosomal RNA", at positions 338 to 795 of the family's 1533-position model. Lineage: Bacteria; Pseudomonadati; Pseudomonadota; Gammaproteobacteria; Oceanospirillales; Halomonadaceae. The record is from RNAcentral.